Molecule: non-coding RNA, 24 nt
Filed under: Arabidopsis thaliana (thale cress)
Lineage: Eukaryota; Viridiplantae; Streptophyta; Magnoliopsida; Brassicales; Brassicaceae
Source: RNAcentral
CGGCCACCAAAUUCUCCUUACCCU